UCCGAGUUAACCCCGGCAGUCUCCCGCGAGUCCCCACCAUUACGUGCUGGCAACAUAGGAUAAGGGUUGCGCUCGUUGCGGGACUUAACCCAACAUCUCACGACACGAGCUGACGACAGCCAUGCACCACCUGUCACCGGCCCCCGAAGGGACCCCCCAUCUCUGAAGGAUUACCGGCGAUGUCAAACCCAGGUAAGGUUCUUCGCGUCGCAUCGAAUUAAUCCGCAUGCUCCGCCGCUUGUGCGGGCCCCCGUCAAUUUCUUUGAGUUUCAGCCUUGCGACCAUACUCCCCAGGCGGGGCACUUAAUGCGUUAGCGCCGGCACUCACGGGGUCGCUCCCGCAAGCACCUAGUGCCCAUCGUUUACGGCGUGGACUAC
This 378-nucleotide unclassified non-coding RNA is filed under the name uncultured Actinomycetes bacterium. Its description in RNAcentral is "uncultured actinobacterium contains 16S-23S intergenic spacer region". The record is from RNAcentral. Lineage: Bacteria; Bacillati; Actinomycetota; Actinomycetes.